This 253-nucleotide ribosomal RNA is filed under the name uncultured bacterium. Its description in RNAcentral is "partial 16S ribosomal RNA". It matches the Rfam family "Bacterial small subunit ribosomal RNA", at positions 524 to 776 of the family's 1533-position model. The record is from RNAcentral.
GACGUAGGGCGCGAGCGUUGUCCGGAUUUAUUGGGCGUAAAGAGCUCGUAGGCGGCUUGUCGCGUCGUUCGUGAAAACCCGGGGCUCAACUCCGGGCUUGCGGGCGAUACGGGCAGGCUAGAGUUCGGUAGGGGAGACUGGAAUUCCUGGUGUAGCGGUGAAAUGCGCAGAUAUCAGGAGGAACACCGGUGGCGAAGGCGGGUCACUGGCCCGAUACUGACGCUGAGGCACGAAAGCGUGGGGAGCAAACGGG